RNAcentral lists this transfer RNA (74 nucleotides) under soil metagenome. It matches the Rfam family "tRNA". Rfam says of the family: Transfer RNA (tRNA) molecules are approximately 80 nucleotides in length. Their secondary structure includes four short double-helical elements and three loops (D, anti-codon, and T loops). Further hydrogen bonds mediate the characteristic L-shaped molecular structure. tRNAs have two regions of fundamental functional importance: the anti-codon, which is responsible for specific mRNA codon recognition, and the 3' end, to which the tRNAs corresponding amino acid is attached (by aminoacyl-tRNA synthetases). tRNAs cope with the degeneracy of the genetic code in two manners: having more than one tRNA (with a specific anti-codon) for a particular amino acid; and 'wobble' base-pairing, i.e. permitting non-standard base-pairing at the 3rd anti-codon position. The record is from RNAcentral. RNAcentral also lists the same sequence under 1 other name.
UGGGCUAUCGUCUAACGGUAGGACGCCUGACUCUGGAUCAGGUAGUUGGGGUUCGAAUCCCUGUAGCCCAGCCA